UCUUUUAAAGUAAAUUACAUUUAAUUUCGACUUAAACUUUGAUUAUUUUUAAUCUAAAAGAC
This 62-nucleotide transfer RNA is filed under the name Acropyga goeldii. RNAcentral describes it as "tRNA-Arg". Lineage: Eukaryota; Metazoa; Arthropoda; Insecta; Hymenoptera; Formicidae. The record is from RNAcentral.